This is a long non-coding RNA of Tachyglossus aculeatus (Australian echidna), 607 nucleotides long. RefSeq lists it as uncharacterized. NCBI's taxonomy places the organism in Eukaryota, Metazoa, Chordata, Mammalia, Monotremata, Tachyglossidae. The record is from RefSeq and is a predicted model, not a curated record. The transcript has 4 exons.
UUCCAUUUCUCCUCCUUCCCCUUCUUCCCUAAAAUAAAGUCAAAAAUGUUGCUUCCACAGCACCCCAACAUUCGAGGACCACAGCCCUUCAGUCCCGGCAGCUGUACCUUCCUCCUGGACUCUCCGCAACCUGAGGGAAGCCAUCCAGAAGCCAUCUUGACUCCACCCCAACCUCUGCCAACCCAACGACCCGGGACUCAGGAGGGCAACCAUCCUGAAGCCCUCCGGACUCCACCUCUGAGCCAUCCAAUGGUUUGUCCUCGCUGCCCAAGUUGGAAGUGCCCGCUUCACCCGCAGCUCCAGGAGAUGAGGAGAAGAAGCCCCGGAGCAGGCAGGAGAAGCCUUUAAUGUCCUGACCCCCAGCCCCGCGCCAACGGAACCGGAGCCAAAACCCAGCCGGCCAGGAAGAUCAGGGUGGCAGCAGUGAGGAGCCAAACGAUUUGGGGGGCUGCUACUCGGGGCUGGAUCUUGCCUGUCUGUGGUAGGCGCUGGUAGGAGCAGAGGGUUUUUGUUCCCCACAUCCAGCAAGGAGAGAUUCAGUGCUUCCAGAUCCAGGGGACAAAGAUGAAGUGAAGGUGCGGCCGGCGGACCAAGAUGGAGAAUUCAA